GAUGAAGAACGUAGCGAAAUGCGAUAAGUAGUGUGAAUUGCAGAAUUCAGUGAAUCAUCGAAUCUUUGAACGCACAUUGCGCCCCUUGGUAUUCCAUGGGGCAUGCCUGUUCGAGCGUCAUUUGUACCUUCAAGCUCUGCUUGGUGUUGGGUGUUUGUCUCGCCUCUGCGUGUAGACUCGCCUCAAAACAAUUGGCAGCCGGCGUAUUGAUUUCGGAGCGCAGUACAUCUCGCGCUUUGCACUCAUAACGACGACGUCCAAAAGUACAUUUUUACACUCUUGACCUCGGAUCAGGUAGGGAUACCCGCUGAACUUAAGCAUAUCAAUAAGCGGAAGA
RNAcentral lists this unclassified non-coding RNA (337 nucleotides) under soil metagenome. RNAcentral describes it as "partial contains 5.8S ribosomal RNA, internal transcribed spacer 2, and large subunit ribosomal RNA". The stretch from base 1 to 120 matches the Rfam family "5.8S ribosomal RNA", at positions 35 to 154 of the family's 154-position model. The record is from RNAcentral.